This 2825-nucleotide ribosomal RNA is filed under the name Klebsiella pneumoniae. RNAcentral's name for it is "bacterial LSU rRNA". It matches the Rfam family "Bacterial large subunit ribosomal RNA". Lineage: Bacteria; Pseudomonadati; Pseudomonadota; Gammaproteobacteria; Enterobacterales; Enterobacteriaceae. The record is from RNAcentral.
GGGUUGUGAGGUUAAGCGACUAAGCGUACACGGUGGAUGCCCUGGCAGUCAGAGGCGAUGAAGGACGUGCUAAUCUGCGAAAAGCGUCGGUAAGGUGAUAUGAACCGUUACAGCCGGCGAUGUCCGAAUGGGGAAACCCAGUGCAAUUCGUUGCACUAUCGUUAACUGAAUACAUAGGUUAACGAGGCGAACCGGGGGAACUGAAACAUCUAAGUACCCCGAGGAAAAGAAAUCAACCGAGAUUCCCCCAGUAGCGGCGAGCGAACGGGGAGCAGCCCAGAGUCUGAAUCAGCUUGUGUGUUAGUGGAACGGUCUGGAAAGUCCGACGGUACAGGGUGAUAGUCCCGUACACCAAAAUGCACAGGCUGUGAACUCGAAGAGUAGGGCGGGACACGUGGUAUCCUGUCUGAAUAUGGGGGGACCAUCCUCCAAGGCUAAAUACUCCUGACUGACCGAUAGUGAACCAGUACCGUGAGGGAAAGGCGAAAAGAACCCCGGCGAGGGGAGUGAAAAAGAACCUGAAACCGUGUACGUACAAGCAGUGGGAGCACCUUCGGGUGUGACUGCGUACCUUUUGUAUAAUGGGUCAGCGACUUAUAUUCUGUAGCAAGGUUAACCGUAUAGGGGAGCCGCAGGGAAACCGAGUCUUAACUGGGCGUUAAGUUGCAGGGUAUAGACCCGAAACCCGGUGAUCUAGCCAUGGGCAGGUUGAAGGUUGGGUAACACUAACUGGAGGACCGAACCGACUAAUGUUGAAAAAUUAGCGGAUGACUUGUGGCUGGGGGUGAAAGGCCAAUCAAACCGGGAGAUAGCUGGUUCUCCCCGAAAGCUAUUUAGGUAGCGCCUCGUGAAUUCAUCUUCGGGGGUAGAGCACUGUUUCGGCUAGGGGGUCAUCCCGACUUACCAACCCGAUGCAAACUACGAAUACCGAAGAAUGUUAUCACGGGAGACACACGGCGGGUGCUAACGUCCGUCGUGAAGAGGGAAACAACCCAGACCGCCAGCUAAGGUCCCAAAGUCAUGGUUAAGUGGGAAACGAUGUGGGAAGGCACAGACAGCCAGGAUGUUGGCUUAGAAGCAGCCAUCAUUUAAAGAAAGCGUAAUAGCUCACUGGUCGAGUCGGCCUGCGCGGAAGAUGUAACGGGGCUAAACCAUGCACCGAAGCUGCGGCAGCGACACUAUGUGUUGUUGGGUAGGGGAGCGUUCUGUAAGCCUGCGAAGGUGACCUGUGAGGGUUGCUGGAGGUAUCAGAAGUGCGAAUGCUGACAUAAGUAACGAUAAAGCGGGUGAAAAGCCCGCUCGCCGGAAGACCAAGGGUUCCUGUCCAACGUUAAUCGGGGCAGGGUGAGUCGACCCCUAAGGCGAGGCCGAAAGGCGUAGUCGAUGGGAAACAGGUUAAUAUUCCUGUACUUGGUGUUACUGCGAAGGGGGGACGGAGAAGGCUAUGUUAGCCGGGCGACGGUUGUCCCGGUUUAAGCAUGUAGGCUGGUUAUCCAGGCAAAUCCGGAUAAUCAAGGCUGAGGUGUGAUGACGAGGCACUACGGUGCUGAAGUAACAAAUGCCCUGCUUCCAGGAAAAGCCUCUAAGCAUCAGGUAACAUCAAAUCGUACCCCAAACCGACACAGGUGGUCAGGUAGAGAAUACCAAGGCGCUUGAGAGAACUCGGGUGAAGGAACUAGGCAAAAUGGUGCCGUAACUUCGGGAGAAGGCACGCUGGUGUGUAGGUGAAGUCCCUGCGGAUGGAGCUGAGACCAGUCGAAGAUACCAGCUGGCUGCAACUGUUUAUUAAAAACACAGCACUGUGCAAACACGAAAGUGGACGUAUACGGUGUGACGCCUGCCCGGUGCCGGAAGGUUAAUUGAUGGGGUUAUCCGUAAGGAGAAGCUCUUGAUCGAAGCCCCGGUAAACGGCGGCCGUAACUAUAACGGUCCUAAGGUAGCGAAAUUCCUUGUCGGGUAAGUUCCGACCUGCACGAAUGGCGUAAUGAUGGCCAGGCUGUCUCCACCCGAGACUCAGUGAAAUUGAACUCGCUGUGAAGAUGCAGUGUACCCGCGGCAAGACGGAAAGACCCCGUGAACCUUUACUAUAGCUUGACACUGAACAUUGAGCCUUGAUGUGUAGGAUAGGUGGGAGGCUUUGAAGCGUGGACGCCAGUCUGCGUGGAGCCAACCUUGAAAUACCACCCUUUAAUGUUUGAUGUUCUAACGUUGGCCCCUUACCGGGGUUGCGGACAGUGUCUGGUGGGUAGUUUGACUGGGGCGGUCUCCUCCCAAAGCGUAACGGAGGAGCACGAAGGUUAGCUAAUCCUGGUCGGACAUCAGGAGGUUAGUGCAAUGGCAUAAGCUAGCUUGACUGCGAGCGUGACGGCGCGAGCAGGUGCGAAAGCAGGUCAUAGUGAUCCGGUGGUUCUGAAUGGAAGGGCCAUCGCUCAACGGAUAAAAGGUACUCCGGGGAUAACAGGCUGAUACCGCCCAAGAGUUCAUAUCGACGGCGGUGUUUGGCACCUCGAUGUCGGCUCAUCACAUCCUGGGGCUGAAGUAGGUCCCAAGGGUAUGGCUGUUCGCCAUUUAAAGUGGUACGCGAGCUGGGUUUAGAACGUCGUGAGACAGUUCGGUCCCUAUCUGCCGUGGGCGCUGGAGAAUUGAGGGGGGCUGCUCCUAGUACGAGAGGACCGGAGUGGACGCAUCACUGGUGUUCGGGUUGUCAUGCCAAUGGCACUGCCCGGUAGCUAAAUGCGGAAGAGAUAAGUGCUGAAAGCAUCUAAGCACGAAACUUGCCCCGAGAUGAGUUCUCCCUGAGACUUUAAGUCUCCUGAAGGAACGUU